Molecule: ribosomal RNA, 467 nt
Filed under: uncultured bacterium
Lineage: Bacteria
Description: partial 16S ribosomal RNA
Rfam family: Bacterial small subunit ribosomal RNA
Source: RNAcentral
GACGAACGCUGGCGGCGUGCUUAACACAUGCAAGUCGAACGGAAAGGCCUCUUUCGGGGGGUACUCGAGUGGCGAACGGGUGAGUAACACGUGAGUAACCUGCCCUUGCCUUUGGGGUAACUUCAGGAAACUGGGGCGAAUACAGGAUAGGAGCUCCUGCUGCAUGGUGGGGGUUGGAAAGUUUCGGCGGUUGGGGAUGGACUCGCGGCUUAUCGGCUUGUUGGUGGGGUAGUGGCUUACCAAGGCGUUGACGGGUAGCCGGCCUGAGGGGGUGAGCGGCCACAUUGGGACUGAGAGACGGCCCAGACGCCGAAGGGAGGCAGAUGGGCGGAAGAUUGCACAAGGGGUGCAGGGCGGAUGCAGCAGGGCUGUGGGCUGGAUGACGGUCUUCGGGUUGUGAACCGCUUUCGCUCAUAACGAAGCUUUGUGUGACGGUAGUGGGUAAAGAAGCACCGGCUAACUACGUG